UACAGAGGUCUCAAGCGUUGUUCGGAUUCAUUGGGCGUAAAGGGUGCGUAGGCGGCUUUGUAAGUCAGUGGUGAAAUACGGUAGCUUAACUAUCGAGGUGCCAUUGAUACUGCAGAGCUUGAGUACAGAUGAGGUAGGCGGAAUUGACGGUGUAGCGGUGAAAUGCUUAGAUAUCGUCAAGAACACCUAUAGCGAAGGCAGCUUACUAGGCUGUAACUGACGUUGAGGCACGAAAGUGUGGGGAUCAAACAGG
Molecule: ribosomal RNA, 253 nt
Filed under: uncultured bacterium
Lineage: Bacteria
Description: partial 16S ribosomal RNA
Rfam family: Bacterial small subunit ribosomal RNA
Source: RNAcentral